GGGCCUAUAGCUCAGUCGGUAGAGCAACGGACUUUUAAUCCGUUAGGCCUAUUUAACGCCUGCGAACAGAUCCCAAUAAGAACUACGACCAACCCCUAUUUCAGGCUCA
This 109-nucleotide transfer RNA is filed under the name Actinomycetota bacterium. RNAcentral describes it as "Actinobacteria bacterium tRNA-Lys". The stretch from base 1 to 51 matches the Rfam family "tRNA". The record is from RNAcentral. Lineage: Bacteria; Bacillati; Actinomycetota.